AUACGUAGGGGGCGAGCGUUGUCCGGAAUGAUUGGGCGUAAAGGGCGCGUAGGCGGCCCGGUAAGUCUGGAGUGAAAGUCCUGUUUUUAAGAUGGGAAUUGCUUUGGAUACUGUCGGGCUCGAGUGCAGGAGAGGUAAGUGGAAUUCCCAGUGUAGCGGUGAAAUGCGUAGAGAUUGGGAGGAACACCAGUGGCGAAGGCGACUUACUGGACUGUAACUGACGCUGAGGCGCGAAAGUGUGGGGAGCAAACAGGAUUAGAUACCCUGGUAGUCCACACCGUAAACGAUGAAUGCUAGGUGUAGGGGGUAUCGACCCCUUCUGUGCCGCAGUCAACACAAUAAGCAUUCCGCCUGGGGAGUACGGCCGCAAGGUUGAAACUCAAAGGAAUUGACGGGG
This 397-nucleotide ribosomal RNA is filed under the name uncultured bacterium. Its description in RNAcentral is "partial 16S ribosomal RNA". It matches the Rfam family "Bacterial small subunit ribosomal RNA", at positions 523 to 918 of the family's 1533-position model. The record is from RNAcentral.